UAAUACGUAGGUGGCAAGCGUUGUCCGGAUUUAUUGGGCGUAAAGCGAGCGCAGGCGGUUUCUUAAGUCUGAUGUGAAAGCCCCCGGCUUAACCGGGGAGGGUCAUUGGAAACUGAGGAACUUGAGUGCAGAAGAGGAGAGUGGAAUUCCAUGUGUAGCGGUGAAAUGCGUAGAUAUAUGGAGGAACACCAGUGGCGAAGGCGACUCUCUGGUCUGUAACUGACGCUGAGGCUCGAAAGCGUGGGGAGCAAACAGGAUUAGAUACCCUGGUAGUCCACGCCGUAAACGAUGAGUGCUAAGUGUUGGAGGGUUUCCGCCCUUCAGUGCUGCAGCUAACGCAUUAAGCACUCCGCCUGGGGAGUACGGUCGCAAGACUGAAACUUAAAUGAAUUGACGG
This 397-nucleotide ribosomal RNA is filed under the name uncultured Enterococcus sp. RNAcentral's name for it is "bacterial SSU rRNA". It matches the Rfam family "Bacterial small subunit ribosomal RNA", at positions 521 to 916 of the family's 1533-position model. The record is from RNAcentral. Lineage: Bacteria; Bacillati; Bacillota; Bacilli; Lactobacillales; Enterococcaceae.